This 76-nucleotide transfer RNA is filed under the name Pseudomonadales bacterium. RNAcentral describes it as "tRNA-His". The record is from RNAcentral. RNAcentral also lists the same sequence under 2 other names. Lineage: Bacteria; Pseudomonadati; Pseudomonadota; Gammaproteobacteria; Pseudomonadales.
GUGGGCCUGACUUAACAGGCAGAGUUCCAGGUUGUGACCCUGGCCAGUACCGGUUCGAGACCGGUGGCCCACCCCA